RNAcentral lists this ribosomal RNA (253 nucleotides) under uncultured bacterium. RNAcentral's name for it is "partial 16S ribosomal RNA". It matches the Rfam family "Bacterial small subunit ribosomal RNA", at positions 524 to 776 of the family's 1533-position model. The record is from RNAcentral.
UACGUAGGGUGCAGGCGUUAAUCGGAAUUACUGGGCGUAAAGGGCGCGUAGGCGGCGUGUCAAGUCAGGCGUGAAAGCCCCGGGCUCAACCUGGGAACCGCGCUUGAGACUGGCAUGCUCGAGUUCGGGAGAGGAUGGUGGAAUUCCCAGUGUAGAGGUGAAAUUCGUAGAUAUUGGGAAGAACACCGAUGGCGAAGGCAGCCAUCUGGACCGACACUGACGCUGAGGCGCGAAAGCGUGGGGAGCAAACAGG